GAUGAGUGUGUAAUGACAUUGGUAGAUUUUAAACAUGUACAAAGGACGUUUCGUUUGUUCGUUCUCAUCAUCAAGCUUUAACCAAUAACUGAAUGUUAAACCUGGCUUUAAUUCAGUGCAACUGAGUGGGAAUGUAAUGGUAUUGGUGGAGGCUCAGUGGAUAAGUUGCAAAAUAAUGCAGCCUACAUUAUACAGUUUAAACCAUCAGUGAUAAAUUUGAAAAUGAAAGUAAUGGCCUGUGCGAUGCAAUCUUAAAACCACAUACAUGCAUAAGCAUAUAGAUUUCAUGUGAGAUUUAUAAAAUAAAUUAUAAUUUUGUAAAUUUUGUUUGUAUGAAAACUAUUUUCAUGAACAACCCUUGAUCCAGUAUAGAUUGAGAAGU
RNAcentral lists this long non-coding RNA (382 nucleotides) under Mytilus galloprovincialis (Mediterranean mussel). The record is from RNAcentral. Lineage: Eukaryota; Metazoa; Mollusca; Bivalvia; Mytilida; Mytilidae.